CCUACGGGCGGCAGCAGUGGGGAAUAUUGCACAAUGGGGGAAACCCUGAUGCAGCGACGCCGCGUGAGUGAAGACGUAUUUCGGUAUGUAAAGCUCUAUCAGCCGAGAAGCAAUAGCGACCUUUGGAUCGCCAGACGGUACCUGAUUACGAAGCCCCGGCUAACUCCGUGCCAGCAGCCGCGGUAUUACGUGGGGGGCAAGCGUUAUCCGGAUUUACUGGGGGUAAAGGGGGCGUAGACGGCCGGGUAAGUCAGCGGUGAAAUCCCGGGGCUCAACCCCGUCACGGCGUUGAAACUGCUGGCCUGGAGUGGGAGAGAAGUAUGCGGAAGGCGUGGUGUAGCGGUGAAAUGCUUAGAUAUCGAGCAGAACCCCGAUUGCGAAGGCAGCAUACCGGCGCGAAACUGACGCUCAGGCACGAAAGCGUGGGUAUCGAACAGGAUUAGAUACCCCGGUAGUC
This 457-nucleotide ribosomal RNA is filed under the name uncultured bacterium. RNAcentral describes it as "partial 16S ribosomal RNA". It matches the Rfam family "Bacterial small subunit ribosomal RNA", at positions 338 to 795 of the family's 1533-position model. The record is from RNAcentral.